UUCCCAGUUUUCACCUAAAGACUCUAUGUGCAAAGAAGUAUUUCAGACCACAUACACACCAAAUGCCUGUCCAGACUAUAAUGGAUGCUGCUUUCUAAAUAACUUUUUUUUUCUUGCUCUGCUGGGAGACACAUCCCAAGUCAUGUUGAGAAUACUGCUCUAAGCAUCUUCUAAAACUGAGAAUUAGCUGUUCAAGCCAUUACUUAGUCAUUUCUAUGUUUCGUCACAUAAGCUUCACACAACAGUAAAACGUACUUUGUCACAAUUAUGCAGAAGAUGCUGCAAAUUCUCUCUUCCAUGGAGGAGAUCAGAGUCAUCUUCUCUGGCCACCUGCAUGUUCUCAGUGUGAAACAGAAAUUGUGUGUAAAGUAUGGCAUUAGUUACCAAACUGCAGUGGAAGGAUAAGAUGACUUUUUUUUCUAUUGUACUUGAAAAAGUGAAGACAUUAGUGAGGAAGGAGUUAAUCAUUGCAAAAUACACGGUCAUUUCCUGAGCCCUGUGGUUGGAUGAAUGCAAACUUUCAACUAUUUCUAAUUCUUCUCUGUCAUUUUAGAGGCUUUCAAGGUGCACUGUGCAUCCCAGAUCAGGGUGGAUUUGGUUUCAUCCCUGAUGCAUCUGCCUGGGCAGACAAAUUGGCUCUCUCUGAUGACUCUCUUACUCCGAGAGGAAAUCUGAUCUGCUACAGCACGGAAACUUCAGUGGUGACCAUGGCUAGACAAAGUCCUUAGGGAGCUGCCUGUUUUGAAGCCAAGAGUUCAUGAUAUGAUCCAGCUGGCUUACAGAGAU
RNAcentral lists this long non-coding RNA (786 nucleotides) under Cairina moschata (Muscovy duck). RNAcentral describes it as "domestica (muscovy Duck (domestic type)) lncRNA (ENSCMMG00000000804.1)". The record is from RNAcentral. Lineage: Eukaryota; Metazoa; Chordata; Aves; Anseriformes; Anatidae.